Long non-coding RNA from Cephus cinctus (wheat stem sawfly), 469 nucleotides. RefSeq lists it as uncharacterized. The transcript has 3 exons. The record is from RefSeq and is a predicted model, not a curated record. NCBI's taxonomy places the organism in Eukaryota, Metazoa, Arthropoda, Insecta, Hymenoptera, Cephidae.
UGAAAAGUGAUGAAUCGCUCGAUCUUGUGUGGGACUAAUGCGCAUAGAACAUAGACUUGAGAAAGUGGUGGUAAAUACCAUACUGGAAGGAGUAUUCUAUACUCUAUGUAGGGAAUAUAAUAAAACCUGUAAAUAAGCUGCAUCCAAUACGCUAAUGACAGUAUCGAAUAUUCCUGGCGUGUGACGCAAUCCCGUCGUAGCGACCAAAAUUUGUAUACAAUGCAAAGGCGUCAAAAUAGCCGGAAUUUUAAAACCAACAGUCUUGAAAACUUUAAACUCCGAAGAAAAUAUUGUGUUUCGUGUAUAUUCGUGAUCCUUGUCAAUCCUUUGGAGUACACAGAGUACCUGUGACGAAGAAAAAAAAAAUUUGAGUCCAGGUUUCCUCAGAUAAUAAACCAUUUUCGUACUCCGUUCUGUACACUUCACUAAAGUGAUUGUACAUGAAUUGGUCAUAUAAAGACACAGUGAG